GACGAACGCUGGCGGCGUGCCUAACACAUGCAAGUCGAGCGGAGAUGAUGUGAGGAAGUUUUCGGAUGGAAUCACAUUAUUUUAGCGGCGGACGGGUGAGUAACGCGUGAGCGACCAACCUUGCACAGGGGGAUAACGGACCGAAAGGUUCACUAAUACCGCAUGAGACCACGGUGUUGCAUGACACAGGGGUCAAAGGAGGCAUCCGGUGCAAGACGGGCUCGCGUCCGAUUAGGUAGUUGGAGGGGUAACGGCACAACAAGCCUAUGAACGGUGGCCGACCUGAAAGAGUGAUAGGGCAAAUUGGAACUGAGAUACGGUCCAAACUCCUACGGGAGGCAGCAGUGGGGAAGAUUGGGCAAGGGGGGAAACCCUGACCCAGCAACGCCGCGUGAAGGAAGAAGGUUUUCGGAUUGUAAACUUCUGUCCUUGGUGAAGAGAAGAAGACGGUAGCCAAGGAGGAAGCCCCGGCUAACUACGUGCCAGCCGCCGCCGUAA
This 498-nucleotide ribosomal RNA is filed under the name uncultured bacterium. RNAcentral's name for it is "partial 16S ribosomal RNA". It matches the Rfam family "Bacterial small subunit ribosomal RNA", at positions 28 to 523 of the family's 1533-position model. The record is from RNAcentral.